GCUCUGAGGAGCCUAGUGUUAGGUUGGACCCUAAAGUAGCCAUGGCAGCCCGCAUUCAGCUCCUUUCCCUCCUGUUACUCUGGCUCCCAGAUACCACAGGAGAAAUUGUGCUGACCCAGACUCCAGCCUCUGUGGCUAUGUCUCCAGGGGAAAGAGUCACCCUCACCUGCAGGGCCAGUCAGAGUGUUGGCAGCUACUUAGCCUGGUACCAGAAGAAACCUGGGCAAGCUCCCAGACGCCUCAUCUAUGGUGCAUCCAGCAGGGCCAGUGGCAUCCCAGCCCGGUUCAGUGGCAGUGGGUCAGGGACAGACUACACCCUUUCCAUCAGCAGCUUGGAGCUUGAGGAUGAUGCAGUUUAUUAAUGUGUGCAAGGCCACACAGAUUACCACAGCGGUUCUGUCCC
Marmota monax (woodchuck) is the source of this 403-nucleotide non-coding RNA. NCBI's taxonomy places the organism in Eukaryota, Metazoa, Chordata, Mammalia, Rodentia, Sciuridae. The record is from the annotation of a RefSeq genome assembly.